This 1336-nucleotide long non-coding RNA is filed under the name Fragaria vesca (wild strawberry). RNAcentral's name for it is "long non-coding RNA (FVES_LNC005225)". The record is from RNAcentral. Lineage: Eukaryota; Viridiplantae; Streptophyta; Magnoliopsida; Rosales; Rosaceae.
UUUUUCACUGUUUUAAGGUGUAUAAUAGUCAUGGAGAAACUUUAUUUUGAGUUUACUACCCCCAGUAAAAGUUUACUAGGGGUAGUAAAUUUUACUAGUGUGUAUUAUGGUUUUGAAAAUACUGUUUUGUAAGUUUACUACCCCCAGUAAAAGUUUACUAGGGGUAGUAAACUUUUUUUUUUCGUACUUGGGUUAAGAUCACGUAAAUUCCGAUGACAUUUAAAAAAAUACAGUGAGAUUUCCGGAAAAUUCCGGCCACCGGAUGCCAGCAAUUUUCCAGUCGUCGGAAAAUUCCGGUCACCGGUGACCGGAAUGCGGCUGCCGGAGUUCGGAGUCCGGCGACCGGAAUGCGGCUGCCAGUGACCGGCGCCGGUGUCCGGUGUGCUUCCGGGAAAGUCUUCCCUUCUUCUUUUUCAUUUUUUAUCUUUAAAUAAAGGUUAAGGGUAAAAAAGUGUUUAAAAAUAUAAUUUUAUUAUAUUUUAAUAAAGAUUUGUGUAUUUGAGCUUAAAAUAAGUACCUUGUAUUCAAAUGAGCUAAUAAAAAAAAUUAUCAUUAAAAUGGGGUUUGACUUUUUCUAUUUUGUGCAAAUGGUCUUUUUCCCUAAAUAUUUUAUUUUCUAUUAGAAAGCCCAACAGAAAACCCACCAACCUCAAUUAGGGCUUUACAUCAAUUUACUUAAUCACAAGGAGAGUACAUUAUACUGACCACCACCUUUGGUUCUUUUUUCAUGUGGGAUAAAUCCCACACAAGUUCCAACAACAUUUAGCUCUAGCUCUAUCUGUAUUCCUCUUUUCUUUUCUAAAAAUAUGUUAUUAGCACAUUAUGUCAUUGGGAAACAUUCACUAAUGUUCGGAAAAAUCAAAUAUCCGACUAUUUUUCUUAUUUACAUUUUACUUUUUCAGUUGCAGUAAGAGUAAACAAUGAUUUUUUCUACAGAUUACUAAUGACUUACAUGCAACCAGUGGAGAUGACUUCACAAAACUAGCCACCAUUCACUGCAUAUGACACGACCCACCCCGAAAUUCACCCUGAAACCCGGAGUAAGUCGUGCGGGGACCACCUCCAAGGAAAAUUUACUGAAAAGAUUAAGAAAAUCUCCCUUGCAGAUGGACAACCCUAACUCGAAAAUUUCAUAUUACACUCUUAAUUUAACGCUUCUGAAUAUCACAUAAUAUACAAAAUUCUAAAGUAUUCAGAGCUACUAAACACAAGCGGAAGCAAGAAAAUACGAGUAGGUUGAACAGGUAACCUACUGGCGAAAACUGGCAAAAAUGCGGGUGACUAUGCCUCGUCUCCUACUAGAUCCAACCCGAAUCUGCAGACUGGGCAAUUUAAA